CCUACGGGAGGCAGCAGUAAGGAAUAUUGGUCAAUGGACGCAAGUCUGAACCAGCCAUGCCGCGUGAAGGAUUAAGGUCCUCUGGAUUGUAAACUUCUUUUAUCUGGGACGAAAAAAGGCGAUUCUUCGUCACUUGACGGUACCAGAUGAAUAAGCACCGGCCAACUCCGUGCCAGCAGCCGCGGUAAUACGGAGGGUGCAAGCGUUAUCCGGAUUCACUGGGUUUAAAGGGUGCGUAGGCGGGUAGGUAAGUCAGUGGUGAAAUCCUGGAGCUUAACUCCAGAACUGCCAUUGAUACUAUCUAUCUUGAAUAUUGUGGAGGUAAGCGGAAUAUGUCAUGUAGCGGUGAAAUGCUUAGAUAUGACAUAGAACACCUAUUGCGAAGGCAGCUUACUACGCAUAUAUUGACGCUGAGGCACGAAAGCGUGGGGAUCAAACAGGAUUAGAUACCCUGGUAGUCCACGCCCUAAACGAUGGAUACUCGACAUACGCGAUACACAGUGUGUGUCUGAGCGAAAGCAUUAAGUAUCCCACCUGGGAAGUACGACCGCAAGGUUGAAACUCAAAUGAAUUGACGGA
RNAcentral lists this ribosomal RNA (579 nucleotides) under Sphingobacteriia bacterium enrichment culture DGGE band 8. Its description in RNAcentral is "bacterial SSU rRNA". It matches the Rfam family "Bacterial small subunit ribosomal RNA", at positions 338 to 917 of the family's 1533-position model. The record is from RNAcentral. Lineage: Bacteria; Pseudomonadati; Bacteroidota; Sphingobacteriia.